UACGUAGGGGGCAAGCGUUGUUCGGAAUUACUGGGCGUAAAGGGCGCGUAGGCGGCACAGCAAGUCAGGCGUGAAAGCCCCGGGCUCAACCUGGGAACCGCGCUUGAGACUGGCACGCUAGAGUUCGGGAGAGGAUGGUGGAAUUCCCAGUGUAGAGGUGAAAUUCGUAGAUAUUGGGAAGAACACCGAUGGCGAAGGCAGCCAUCUGGACCGACACUGACGCUGAGGCGCGAAAGCGUGGGGAGCAAACAGG
Molecule: ribosomal RNA, 253 nt
Filed under: uncultured bacterium
Lineage: Bacteria
Description: partial 16S ribosomal RNA
Rfam family: Bacterial small subunit ribosomal RNA
Source: RNAcentral